UUUUAUGAGAGUUCGAUCCUGGCUCAGGAUGAACGCUGGCGGCGUGCCUAACACAUGCAAGUCGAACGAGAUGCUUAUC
RNAcentral lists this non-coding RNA (79 nucleotides) under Oribacterium sinus F0268. RNAcentral's name for it is "Bacterial small subunit ribosomal RNA". It matches the Rfam family "Bacterial small subunit ribosomal RNA", at positions 1 to 79 of the family's 1533-position model. Lineage: Bacteria; Bacillati; Bacillota; Clostridia; Lachnospirales; Lachnospiraceae. The record is from Rfam by way of RNAcentral.